GCGGGUAUAGUUUAGUGGUAAAACGAAAGCCUCCCAUGCUUUAGUUGGGGGUUCGAUUCCCCCUACCCGCU
Molecule: transfer RNA, 71 nt
Filed under: Synechocystis sp.
Lineage: Bacteria; Bacillati; Cyanobacteriota; Cyanophyceae; Synechococcales; Merismopediaceae
Also listed under: 26 other names
Description: tRNA-Gly
Rfam family: tRNA
About the family: Transfer RNA (tRNA) molecules are approximately 80 nucleotides in length. Their secondary structure includes four short double-helical elements and three loops (D, anti-codon, and T loops). Further hydrogen bonds mediate the characteristic L-shaped molecular structure. tRNAs have two regions of fundamental functional importance: the anti-codon, which is responsible for specific mRNA codon recognition, and the 3' end, to which the tRNAs corresponding amino acid is attached (by aminoacyl-tRNA synthetases). tRNAs cope with the degeneracy of the genetic code in two manners: having more than one tRNA (with a specific anti-codon) for a particular amino acid; and 'wobble' base-pairing, i.e. permitting non-standard base-pairing at the 3rd anti-codon position.
Source: RNAcentral